This 112-nucleotide small nuclear RNA is filed under the name Sciurus vulgaris (Eurasian red squirrel). The record is from RNAcentral. Lineage: Eukaryota; Metazoa; Chordata; Mammalia; Rodentia; Sciuridae.
GUGCUCAUUCCGGCAGCAUAUAUACUAAAAUUGGAAUGAUACAGAGAAGAUUAGGAUGGCCCCUGCGCAAGGAUGGCAUGACAUGCAAAUUUGUGAAGCGUUCCAUAUUUUU